GCGAACGCUGGCGGCAGGCUUAACACAUGCAAGUCGAACGGGCACCUCGGUGCUAGUGGCAGACGGGUGAGUAACGCGUGGGAACGUGCCUUUCGGUUCGGAAUAAUCCAGGGAAACUUGGACUAAUACCGGAUACGCCCUUCGGGGGAAAGAUUUAUCGCCGAAAGAUCGGCCCGCGUCUGAUUAGCUAGUUGGUGAGGUAAAGGCUCACCAAGGCGACGAUCAGUAGCUGGUCUGAGAGGAUGAUCAGCCACAUUGGGACUGAGACACGGCCCAAACUCCUACGGGAGGCAGCAGUGGGGAAUAUUGGACAAUGGGCGCAAGCCUGAUCCAGCCAUGCCGCGUGAGUGAUGAAGGCCUUAGGGUUGUAAAGCUCUUUUGUCCGGGAAGAUAAUGACUGUACCGGAAGAAUAAGCCCCGGCUAACUUCGUGCCAGCAGCCGCGGUAAUACGAAGGGGGCUAGCGUUGCUCGGAAUCACUGGGCGUAAAGGGCGCGUAGGCGGACUUUUAAGUCGGAGGUGAAAGCCCAGGGCUCAACCCUGGAAUUGCCUUCGAUACUGGGAGUCUUGAGUUCGGAAGAGGUUGGUGGAACUGCGAGUGUAGAGGUGAAAUUCGUAGAUAUUCGCAAGAACACCGGUGGCGAAGGCGGCCAACGGUCCGAAACUG
Molecule: ribosomal RNA, 666 nt
Filed under: uncultured Alphaproteobacteria bacterium
Lineage: Bacteria; Pseudomonadati; Pseudomonadota; Alphaproteobacteria
Description: bacterial SSU rRNA
Rfam family: Bacterial small subunit ribosomal RNA
Source: RNAcentral